ACACAACCGACCCAGGAGACGCUAGCGUGUGCCCAGGGAAGAGUUCUCUUUUCUUUUUAACAAGCAUAUCCUACCUUGGAAACGGAUUAUCCGGCGAUAAGGAG
Phytophthora infestans T30-4 is the source of this 104-nucleotide ribosomal RNA. The record is from RefSeq and is a predicted model, not a curated record. Lineage: Eukaryota; Oomycota; Peronosporomycetes; Peronosporales; Peronosporaceae.